Molecule: ribosomal RNA, 407 nt
Filed under: uncultured prokaryote
Also listed under: 1 other name
Description: bacterial SSU rRNA
Rfam family: Bacterial small subunit ribosomal RNA
Source: RNAcentral
CUAAGAAUAUUCCGCAAUGGGCGAAAGCCUGACCCAGCAACGCCGCGUGAAGGAAGAAGGUUUUCGGAUUGUAAACUUCUGUCCUCAGGGUAGAAGGAAGUGACGGUACCUGAGGAGGAAGCCCCGGCUAACUACGUGCCAGCAGCCGCGGUAAUACGUAGGGGGCGAGCGUUGUCCGGAAUGACUGGGCGUAAAGGGCGCGUAGACGGCUGUUUAAGUCUGGAGUGAAAGUCCUGCUUUCAAGGUGGGAAUUGCUUUGGAGACUGAAUGGCUUGAGUGCGGAAGAGGUAAGUGGAAUUCCCAGUGUAGCGGUGAAAUGCGUAGAGAUUGGGAGGAACACCAGUGGCGAAGGCGACUUACUGGGCCGUAACUGACGUUGAUGCGCGAAAGCGUGGGGAGCGAACAGG